RNAcentral lists this ribosomal RNA (134 nucleotides) under Chrysoculter rhomboideus. RNAcentral describes it as "partial Bacterial small subunit ribosomal RNA". It matches the Rfam family "Bacterial small subunit ribosomal RNA", at positions 1 to 146 of the family's 1533-position model. The record is from RNAcentral. Lineage: Eukaryota; Haptophyta.
UUUGAGAGUUUGAUCCUGGCUCAGGAUGAACGCUGGCGGUAUGCCUAACACAUGCAAGUUGAACGCAAAUUUUUUAAAUUUGAGUAGCGAACGGGUGAGUAACACGUGAGAAUCUGCCUCUAGGAGGGGUAUAA